This is a long non-coding RNA of Helianthus annuus (common sunflower), 809 nucleotides long. RefSeq lists it as uncharacterized. NCBI's taxonomy places the organism in Eukaryota, Viridiplantae, Streptophyta, Magnoliopsida, Asterales, Asteraceae. The transcript is spliced from 4 exons. The record is from RefSeq and is a predicted model, not a curated record.
AAAAAGUUAAAAAAUUCUACCCCCCCCCCCCCACACGUGUUAUGGUUCUGGGAAAGGGGAGGGGGGGAGUGAGGGGCUGCUUGCAAAGGGGAACAACAUGUACAAACAACUGGUAUAUUCUUAGCCAAUUAUGAUGUGGACACCCACUUAGACUAGAGAAUUCCCUCAUAGGCACCAAACUCUUUCCCUCUAUUUUCCUUUCACGUGGCUUUUUAGACACAUUUUUCAUCCAUAUCAUUCCAAAACCCUAAUUUUUCUUUAAUCCUCCUGAACAUCUCUCCCUAAAUCUCUUUCGUGGAGAUAUCAUCAGUAUCGUUCAAAAACCCUAAUUAUCAUAUAGGGGCGAUUCUUAUCAAAGCGAUUAAUGGAAACCCUAAAUUGUAACCAGUGGAAUUGAAUCCAGAAAAGUUUGAAGCUUGAGAGAGAGAGAGACAAUGGAAACAAGUGGUUGUUAGAGCCAUCCAUCCAGUGGUGAUGUUUGGGUUCCGAUUAGAGCAUUGGCCACAGCGGCGAUAGCUAGGUUUCUUCCACUUCAAGGGGUUUAAGGGGAUUCUCAAGAUUGGUGAAUAUUAGAGAUGGUAAAGGGGCAACACCUUUUCAUUUGUCUGCCCGUCAAGAAGUUAAUGGAGAUGCUUUUGAGUUAUAAGCAUUAUUAAUUUGGAAAUGUUUAAAGCCUAUGUUGGCAAAUAAACUAUGCACAUAAGGUGUUCACUUAAAUGUUUUGAUGUGUUAACAAUGAUUUCUGCUCAGGCACUGAUUAUAAACCCUAUGUUGGUGACCGGUAUUAAUGAAGCAAUCAUCUACUCAUA